GGUUACUGCUAUCGGUGUUCGCUUAAGCCAUGCGAGUCAUAUGUUCGUAAGAACAUGGCGUACUGCUCAGUAACACGUGGAUAACCUGCCCUUGGGUCCGGCAUAACCCCGGGAAACUGGGGAUAAUUCCGGAUAACGCACAUAUGCUGGAAUGCUUUAUGCGUAAAAUGGAUUCGUCUGCCCAAGGAUGGGUCUGCGGCCUAUCAGGUAGUAGUGGGUGUAAUGUACCUACUAGCCUACGACGGGUACGGGUUGUGAGAGCAAGAGCCCGGAGAUGGAUUCUGAGACAUGAAUCCAGGCCCUACGGGGCGCAGCAGGCGCGAAAACUUUACAAUGCGGGAAACCGUGAUAAGGGGACACCGAGUGCCAGCAUCCUAUGCUGGCUGUCCGGGUGUGUAAAAUACACCUGUAGCAAGGGCCGGGCAAGACCGGUCCAGCCGCCGCGGUAACACCGGCGGCCCGAGUGGUGAUCGUGAUUAUUGGGUCUAAAGGGUCCGUAGCCGGUUUGGUCAGUCCUCCGGGAAAUCUGACAGCUUAACUGUUAGGCUUUCGGAGGAUACUGCCAGACUUGGAACCGGGAGAGGUAAGAGGUACUACAGGGGUAGGAGUGAAAUCUUGUAAUCCCUGUGGGACCACCUGUGGCGAAGGCGUCUUACCAGAACGGGUUCGACGGUGAGGGACGAAAGCUGGGGGCACGAACCGGAUUAGAUACCCGGGUAGUCCCAGCC
This 728-nucleotide ribosomal RNA is filed under the name uncultured archaeon. RNAcentral's name for it is "bacterial SSU rRNA". It matches the Rfam family "Archaeal small subunit ribosomal RNA", at positions 21 to 752 of the family's 1478-position model. The record is from RNAcentral.